Molecule: ribosomal RNA, 136 nt
Filed under: uncultured fungus
Lineage: Eukaryota; Fungi
Description: partial contains internal transcribed spacer 1 and 5.8S ribosomal RNA
Source: RNAcentral
AAGGAAGUUCCGCGCACUGGCAAAGUCUGAUGCAGCGACCAAGUGCGGAUGUGAAGAUAUUCGCGCCUUUCAUCGUGCAUCCGCUCGCGAGCGUGGAUUUUGAUGCACAGAUCCCCAAAAAGGGCGACCAACGCCA